This 75-nucleotide transfer RNA is filed under the name Bacillus phage vB_BcoS-136. RNAcentral describes it as "tRNA-Asn". It matches the Rfam family "tRNA". From Rfam's summary of the family: Transfer RNA (tRNA) molecules are approximately 80 nucleotides in length. The record is from RNAcentral. Lineage: Duplodnaviria; Heunggongvirae; Uroviricota; Caudoviricetes.
UGGCUAGUAGUUCAGUGGUAGAACAUCUGACUGUUAAUCAGAGGGUCGCAGGUUCGAAUCCUGCCUAGUCAGCCA